CGUACUAGCUGUCAAAAAAACCGGAGAGAGCUCGCUACCUGUUUUGCGCAUGCGCAGUGGGCACAGAUAGGUUCCUCUCGCUGCCCUUUCCUGCCUGUGCUGCUCAUGCCGUACCGUAUUUACAGAAGUACGCGCGCAGCAAGUUUUUAGACUUCGAAAGGAAUAGAGACUCAAAGUGGCUCAAAAUUAAAAACAUUGAAAUACAGUACAUCUUAAAAUAUUCAGGUGGAGUCCCACUGAAAGGCUGUCUUUAUGGCAGGUGUCAACACCUAAUGAGAAAUUAGAUGCUAGUGGAAACUGUGUUCAUCAAGCUGUGUGGUAUAUAACUGGGAAACAUCUCUGCAAGCAAGGUGUGAAGGGCGAGAGGAAAAAGAUCCCACUGGCCAAGUGGAGAAGAUAUUGAUCUGCUAGGUGGGGUUGGUAGAAUCCACAUCCACAUCUAGAAUAGCCACAAUAACCUAAAAACUGUCAUUGCUCUGUAAUACUUCAUGCAUGUCGACCUCUUUUGCACACUUAUUUCAGUAUUGCAGUAAUAUAGAAUGGGUUGGUAUUAUUGUCCUGCUAUUGUUUAUGGCAGAUGAGUGGGAGCAGCAAAUGAAUUCAAUCCUUUAAGUGUCCAGUAGAAGUAAACCUGGUAGAAUUUAUUGCCAGGUUAACAUAGAGAAAAUUAUAACCUUAAAUCAG
Molecule: long non-coding RNA, 684 nt
Organism: Anolis carolinensis (green anole)
Lineage: Eukaryota; Metazoa; Chordata; Lepidosauria; Squamata; Anolidae
Exons: 3
Source: RefSeq, a predicted model, not a curated record